UCGACGAUGCCGAGAACAUCCACGUGAUGUA
Molecule: small RNA, 31 nt
Filed under: Bombyx mori (domestic silkworm)
Lineage: Eukaryota; Metazoa; Arthropoda; Insecta; Lepidoptera; Bombycidae
Description: ovarian small RNA-28309
Source: RNAcentral